UAGGGAAUAUUGGGCAAUGGGCGAGAGCCUGACCCAGCCAUGCCGCGUGCCGGAUGAAGGCCUUCUGGGUUGUAAACGGCUUUUCUCAGGGAAGAAAAAGACCUUGCGAGGUACACUGACGGUACCUGAGGAAUAAGCACCGGCUAACUCCGUGCCAGCAGCCGCGGUAAUACGGAGGGUGCAAGCGUUGUCCGGAUUUAUUGGGUUUAAAAGGGUGCGUAGGCGGCUUGUUAAGUCCGGGGUGAAAGCCCACUGCUCAACAGUGGAACUGCCCUGGAUACUGGCAAGCUUGAGUCCAGACGAGGUUGGCGGAAUGGAUGGUGUAGCGGUGAAAUGCAUAGAUACCAUCCAGAACCCCGAUUGCGAAGGCAGCUGACUAGGCUGGUACUGACGCUGAGGCACGAAAGCGUGGGGAGCGAACAGGAUUAGAUACCCUGGUAGUCCACGCCGUAAACGAUGGAUACUCGCUGGUGGCGAUAGACAGUCACUGGCUUAGGGAAACCGGUAAGUAUCCCACCUGGGGAGUACGCUCGCAAGAGUGAAACUUAAAGGAAUUGACGGGGUCAUAGCUGUUUCCU
RNAcentral lists this ribosomal RNA (578 nucleotides) under uncultured bacterium. Its description in RNAcentral is "partial 16S ribosomal RNA". It matches the Rfam family "Bacterial small subunit ribosomal RNA", at positions 355 to 1375 of the family's 1533-position model. The record is from RNAcentral.